GGGAAGGCGAGCAGAACCCAGCCUCUGGUCUGCAGACUGGCAGCACCGGCUCCGUGUCAGCCAGCCAGCCAGCCAGCCACCCCGGGGAGGUCGACAGCCCACGCCGGACAGCCCUGCAGAGAGGGCAGCUGAGGCAGAAGGUUACUGCUUCCCAAGCCAAGGGCAGACAGUGGUCCUGGCUCAAUGCCAGCACAUACUCUUCUCCAGACAAAAAGAGAAAAUAUUUCUAAGCUGUACGAACAUUACUUUCACCCACGCUCUCAAACAUAGCUCCAGCCGGGGAUCAAGCAGUGUUGGAUGGCAGAUAAGGAAGUUCUCUGGUUUCAUCUUAUGCAGUAAGGUGGAAGGUGAGCAGCAAACCAGUCACCAGAAGUAACCGUACCAUUGAUUCAAGCAGCUGGAAACUAGCCUGGAGAAUUGGACCCUAUCUCUACCUGAAAAAAAAUCCUGCAAGAUGCUGGGAAAGUUUCAUACAACAAACUUGUAACAAGCUUUCAGAAUCAUGGGUUUCACAGGUCCAGGAACCUGAACCGCAGCCCCGGGAUCUGCUUAGCAAUCAGGAGACUGCUCGCAGUCACCAUCGAGGACGUGAGGUUCCGCACUCCAACCAUGCAAGUUGUAAAGGCAGCGCUAAGCUCUCUGAAAACCAAAAUCAAAAUAAAUUUAAGAAAAAAUUAAAACUGCACCCUAGGUGUCUGAGAGUGGGCAAACAAAAUGGUUUGAUCUCAGUUUCUCUGCAGCUCAGUUGCCCAGCUGUGGAACAGAGAGAACCUCCCUCCCUUCCCACAGGCUUCGUGAAGACAAAUUGCUGUCUGUGAGUUGCCCCAGGAUUGACCUUAAGAGGUGAUAAAUAAUUCUGUGUUCAGAGAGAGGCUCAGCAGAGCACUGCACCACACACCGAAUGCGGAGGCCAGGAUGACGUGCUGCUGGGGAACUCCUUAGAGGGGUUCCAUCAUCCCUGAGCACCACAGGGAAACGUGGUCCUUGGGGCAAGGCAGUGCCGGAUCAGGUAAUUAAAAGAGUUUAUUAAUCUGCGUCCAUAGGCACAAAGAGAGGAAACAAAGAUUGUUUUCAUUUAAUUCUACCUUUAGAAUUCUAGCACUUCCUAACAUUUAGAUACUUAACUUUUCAAUUUCUGUUUAAAAAAAGUUAAAAUAGUUUGUGUGUGCGUGUGCAAUACUAUCCUAAUGGAUUGACGGGCUACUAGUGAGAACAACUGGAGUAACGACUAAUGAUCUAGAUGUUUUUUCUCCAACAGUAAAGAAAUAGGAAAAGCGGGGCCUGCCAUAUCCCAGGCAGGGAUAAAUGUUUCCUUCUAGGAAGAAAAGGUGGGGAGUGGCCAGGAGCAGGUUACCGUGAAAGGUCAUGGAGACCUUUCCGCUUCUAGCAGGACGGAGAGCAUGCCAGCAUGGAUAACAUCAAGAAGAAAAUAACAGUAGUUGAACAGCAUGAUGUGCAGUAAUUCCAGCAGUUCCAGUUUCUCUUUUCAUCAUUUAUUUAAGACUGUGUCUAGACAGUGCAUUACCAUUCACAGAAUUUAUGACUAAUGCCCUGAAAAGCAAAGAUACUGGAAUAAUGUAAACACAGAAAUCACCUAGAAGCCAUACAAAUCCUUUCAUGGUUUAAAAUAUUCCCAAUUAACUUUGACAGGAAAAAGAGUCAACGUGACCACAGUAUUUCAUGGACAAACCUGCCCAGGGUGCCCAUCGACUACGUGGCAAGGGCAGAGCGGAAAUUCUGCAGCUAAGCUUUACAGGAGAUUUUCAGAUGUGUUAAUGUUAGAUGAAAUAAACUCAUCAACAGCUUUCAAGCCUAAAAUAUCCCUAGAGAAGCUUUUAAAAGGCAUAGAAUUAUACUGGGAAAAAAAUAUUUAAAGUGUUACCAGGAUGCAGUUUUUUCCACCCAAGAAGACAGUCUUGAUUUUCAGAGGUUCUGAAACACCUUGAAAAUCCUGAUCACUCAUAGAGUUUCUUGUGCAAAUAGAGACAACCAUAACUAGCUAGUGGUUCUUCAACAUUUAGCAGACACAGCUAUUUCCUUGUACUACAGAAUUAAAAAGCCAUUUUCUCCAAUUGCUUCUCAGCCUUGUCAUUUGAUACAUAUGUGCACACAUGUAUGCAUAUAUAUGUAUACCAAAAAGACCUUACUGAAGUAACUAUUCAACACUAAUUAGAUCUACUGGAGAUUUUCCCCAGCAUAGAACUGCUGCUUGGAAAAUACAUAUGAUCAACAGCGGGUCCAUCGCCAGUCUGAGAAGACUGCCUGGACAUGCUGUAAUUGGCAGGUCAAAUUUUGACACUCCACAACAGUCACAGAGCCAAACAAUUGAAGGAUAAAAUGAAUGAGGGAUUAAGUGUAUCUAAUUAUGCUUUCAUUCCUGUUCUCCAGCAAAUCAUUUUAAGAACAAGUACAACACAACAACCACUUCUGUGUUCCUGUUUUUCUGUUAAAGGAAUCUUCCUGCUAGACACAGUAUUCUACUAGUAACUAUUGAGAAAAUGCCUUGCAAAAAUUGUUUGGAAGUUCAUUUUCCAAUGCUCUGAAGCAUUGCUCUUAAAAGUAGGAUGAACGCAUUGUUCUUUACAGAUCCCGUGAUGAGACACAUGGCUAAUACCCUCAUGUCACAUUAUAUGAUCUGAUGCAGGAGCAGGCUCGGGGACAUUCCCAUAGAACUGAGUCACCCAAGUCUUAUGACCCAAAGCAAGGGCCAGGGCUGAAAUAGGACCUUUCCUUUUCAAUCUUUUGUUACAGCGUUGAGACUAUGUAAAUUGCCAGGAUGAUAACUUGAAAAGGGGAA
Long non-coding RNA from Grus americana (Whooping crane), 2797 nucleotides. RefSeq lists it as uncharacterized. Lineage: Eukaryota; Metazoa; Chordata; Aves; Gruiformes; Gruidae. The transcript has 2 exons. The record is from RefSeq and is a predicted model, not a curated record.